CAGAACGAACGCUGGCGGCAGGCUUAACACAUGCAAGUCGAACGCUCGUAGCAAUACGGGAGUGGCGGACGGGUGAGUAACGCGUGGGAACGUGCCCUGAGGUACGGAAUAACUGCGGGAAACUGCAGCUAAUACCGUAUGAGCCCCGUGAGGGGGAAAGAUUUAUCGCCUUAGGAUUGGCCCGCGUUGGGAUUAGGUAGUUGGUGGGGUAAUGGCCUACCAAGCCUACGAUCCAUAGCUGGUUUGAGAGGAUGAUCAGCAACACUGGGACUGAGACACGGCCCAGACUCCUACGGGAGGCAGCAGUGGGGAAUCUUAGACAAUGGGCGCAAGCCUGAUCUAGCCAUGCCGCGUGAGCGAUGAAGGCCUUAGGGUUGUAAAGCUCUUUCAGAUGGGAAGAUAAUGACGGUACCAUCAGAAGAAGCCCCGGCUAACUCCGUG
Molecule: ribosomal RNA, 441 nt
Filed under: uncultured bacterium
Lineage: Bacteria
Description: bacterial SSU rRNA
Rfam family: Bacterial small subunit ribosomal RNA
Source: RNAcentral